Long non-coding RNA from Mustela erminea (ermine), 1320 nucleotides. RefSeq lists it as uncharacterized. The record is from RefSeq and is a predicted model, not a curated record. Lineage: Eukaryota; Metazoa; Chordata; Mammalia; Carnivora; Mustelidae. The transcript is spliced from 3 exons.
UGGGUGCUGGGCAUUAAGGAGGGCACGUGAUGUAAUGAGCACUGGGUGUUAUAUAAGACUGAUGAAACACUGAACACCACCUCUGAAACUGAUUAUACAUUAUAUGUUAAUUAAUUGAAUUUAAAUUAAAAAACUUGAAAAAGGAAGAUGAAGAAGAAUUACAGUUAUUCAUUUAGCCUAGGUUUGUGGUUUAAAGCAUAGACUCUGGAACCAGACGGCUUGUGUCCCAACACUUACUGAUGCCAGAUCUAAGGAAACACUUAUACUUAGGCUCCUGGGAUAGGAACCAUCCUCAGCCCUUAAUAAAUGAAUAUAUUUGACAAACACUGAUCAACUAUGAUGUGUUAGGCACCACAGAGCCCAGAGAGACAACUAAAACAGAGGCUGAUUCUCUCAGUGGUUCUAUACAGCCUCUAGUCAGAAGGACCCAUCUGUACUCUGGCUUUGGCAAGUUUCUUAACCUCUCUGAAAAGCAACUUACUGAGCUGUAAAAUGAUGAUCAUAUUCUCUUUCCAGGGUUGUUCUGUGGGUUAAAGGAGGCAACCCAUGUAAACUACUUACAUGGUUUAAUGCCAGGGUAGUGGCUGGCAUAAAGACUCAGUAAAUGUUAGCCAUGAUUAUUUUUAUGCUUCCUCAUAUUUGCAGCAAUUUACAGUGUCCCAAACACCUCCACAUCCACAUCCACAAUUGUGUUUCGUUCUUAUAAAGCACGGCUUUUCUAGUUAUUUAAAAAUGUGUCACUUUUACCAAGCGUAUGGAAGCUUAGAAAGGCGUUGUGAGGAGCUUAAAAAUCACAGCUUCUAAGUGAAGGAGCUAGGAUUCUAACUCCCAAGUUAUGCGGGUCUUUCAUGUCCUUUGUCCCUCUCCUCACAUUUAUCUAGCCACUCAGGAACGGCUGCAAUCCAAGGAAGGCUGUGAUAACAAUAACAAGGUCAUAAAGUAUAUCAAGGAAUAGGAAAGGAGAAAUUCUGGAUGAGAGGUCUGGAAAGGCUGCAAGACCGGAAUGCAGUUGGGCCUUGACGGAUGUUUGCUGACUGGGGAUCUGGUGGUGAGGUAAGGCAGGGAACGAUCUGGAAAGAUUGGGCUUCCAGUCCUGGCUGUGCAUUAGCUAGCUGCGAGAUGUUGAGAAGGUCACGUCCCCUCUCUAGGCGUGUUUCCUGAGGGACUGGUGCAGCGGGAUGGGAGGGGCGUGGUAGGGACCGCUUCCAAGAAGAGAGCGGCAGAGUGGCGGGCAGACUCCCAGGGGCUGAUGCCGGAGUGGCCGCCCUUCGUGGUGCCUAGGGCCGAGCUGGAGCAGAGCGUAAAGGCCUUCCACCUUCC